UUCUAAGCUUGCCUCUUUUUUUUUUUUCUUUUUCUCCACAUUUUUUUCACUUUUUCCCAAAAUAUUUUUUCCUCAAAGGCCGGAAAAGAGAUGUUAGCAGUAGUAGCCAA
RNAcentral lists this non-coding RNA (110 nucleotides) under Aurantiochytrium limacinum. The record is from RNAcentral. Lineage: Eukaryota; Bigyra; Thraustochytrida; Thraustochytriidae.